RNAcentral lists this non-coding RNA (319 nucleotides) under Desulfitobacterium dichloroeliminans. RNAcentral's name for it is "T-box sequence". It matches the Rfam family "T-box leader". From Rfam's summary of the family: Uncharged tRNA acts as the effector for transcription antitermination of genes in the T-box leader family. T-boxes are found upstream of many aminoacyl-tRNA synthetase genes and some amino acid biosynthetic genes usually in Gram-positive bacteria. The anticodon of a specific tRNA base pairs to a specifier sequence within the T-box motif, and the NCCA acceptor tail of the tRNA base pairs to a conserved bulge in the T-box antiterminator hairpin. The record is from RNAcentral. Lineage: Bacteria; Bacillati; Bacillota; Clostridia; Eubacteriales; Desulfitobacteriaceae.
AAACAAACGAUGAGAAGAAAUAGUAAUCCUUUAUGAACUGGUUUAGCGAAUCGGGAUGGGUGGAAGCCUGAUACAGAGUCUUUAGGAUGAAUGGCUCUUCGAGUUGCGAUCUGAACACGUGAGUUAGUAGGUGAUGCCGGGGGUUUCCCGUUAUAGAAACAGGAUAUCGAGAAGGCGUUUAUUGAGCACAUCAUGAAUGCGCAGAAAAGAAAUGCACUUACUCCGUAUCUGGUUAAUGAGAUAUUGUUGCUAUUGCCUUUUGGGGUAUAGAUUCAAUAUAAAAAAGGUGGCACCACGGAAGCAAACUUCUGUCCUUUGU